RNAcentral lists this ribosomal RNA (407 nucleotides) under uncultured bacterium. RNAcentral's name for it is "partial 16S ribosomal RNA". It matches the Rfam family "Bacterial small subunit ribosomal RNA", at positions 30 to 526 of the family's 1533-position model. The record is from RNAcentral.
AUUGAACGCUGGCGGCAGGCCUAACACAUGCAAGUCGAGCGGAGCGGGGGACGGGUGAGUGAUGCCUAGGAAUCUGCCUGGUCUUGGGGGAGAGGGUCAGGAAACGGGCGCUGAUACCAAAUCCUAUCGGAUGAGCCUGGGUCGGAUUAGCUAGUUGGUGGGGUAGAGGCAUACAAAGGCGACGAUCCGUAACUGGUCUGGGAGGAGGAUCAGCCACACGGGAACUGAGACACGGUCCAGACUCCUACGGGAGGCAGCAGUGGGGAAUAUUGGAAAAUGGGCGAAAUCCUGAUCCAGCAAUGCCGCGUGUGUGAAGAAGGUCUUCGGAUUGUAAAGAACUUUAAGUUGGGAGGCGUUACUAACAGAAGAAGCACCGGCUAACUUCGUGCCAGCAGCCGCGGUAAUUC